Molecule: long non-coding RNA, 939 nt
Organism: Ipomoea nil (Japanese morning glory)
Lineage: Eukaryota; Viridiplantae; Streptophyta; Magnoliopsida; Solanales; Convolvulaceae
Exons: 2
Source: RefSeq, a predicted model, not a curated record
UCCACUUACCCACAACCCAUUCCCAAUCCCUACCCAACUUCCUCUGCGAACGAUGCGAAGCAGCGAAAAGAAACGGCAAUUUCGAAGCGAAGACGGCGAAGAAGAAGAUGAGAAGCAGAGGAUGAAGAUCUGGUUAUUGGAGAUGGCAGAAGGCAAGAAUCAGAGAAGCGAGAAGCGGUGGGCAAGAAAUGCAAAUCUGGUUUUUAAUUUUUUUUUUUUGUGAAUUAAAAAAUAUAGUUCGUAUGUUGAGUUUUGAAGAUGAAGAUGAUUUCUGUGAUGGGUUAAUAGUCAGUUUCAUUAUUUUUUUAAUUUGUUUUUAAUUUGUGAAUUUUCUUCCAUUCUGUUCUGUUCCAUAGCUCCAUGUGAGGGGAGGAGAAGAAGAGGCGGUAGUGUUUUCCAUUAUUUUGUUCCUUUACUGAAUAUCGGUGAGAUUUUGGAUGAAGAUGAGAUCAGGGAUAAUUUAGACUUUUUAGAAGAAAUGGAGAAGAAAUAGAAUCAGCCAAGGGAGAAACGUUGCUCCCAGCAGCGUUUAGAAAAUUACUCUUGCUGAGUAAUUUGUGCGAUUCAUCAAAUCGCAGAUGGCUUUCAUUUUUUUUUUUUUCAAUUUAAUCUUAUAUAUUGAAAGGUAUAUCUGCGAAUUCCUAAGAUGACUAACAUUCAUUUAUAUUUUUCCAUUAUAACAUAUUGAUUCGUAUAUUUCUUCAUCGAAGUGAUGCAUGGAAGAUCUGAGUACAGAUCUGUGUUUUUAAAGUGCUCAGUAACCCUAAUUUCGCAUACGGCUCAAAGGGCAAUAGAUCUUCUAAAAGUAUGUGGUCUUUGGACAUAACAUGCCUUAACCUAUGGAGUAUCAAGGAUCACUCUUAGGCAUUGAUACACUUCUUGGUUGGCCUUUACACCUCCCUAUCUCUAAGGUGAAUUAAUUCUAUAGCAUUUUAUUUU